Brassica oleracea var. oleracea is the source of this 520-nucleotide long non-coding RNA. RefSeq lists it as uncharacterized. The record is from RefSeq and is a predicted model, not a curated record. The transcript has 3 exons. NCBI's taxonomy places the organism in Eukaryota, Viridiplantae, Streptophyta, Magnoliopsida, Brassicales, Brassicaceae.
CUGAUGGAGUAGGAAACUCAACUGAUUUAGACAUUUAUACCACAGCACAAACCAAAGACAAAAAACUGAUGGUAGUAAGAUGAAAUCUUCCUGAAAACAACAAACUGAAGGAUUCAACUCCAGAUACAGGUAAGGUCAAACAAACAGAUGGAGUUUGAUCCAGUUAAGCAGCAUAGGCAUUUUUGUCCCUGGAUCUGGUCGACGAGUAGAAAAGGCCCUGGAUGGAGGCAGACUCUAUCUGCAUUACAACGCCAUAAGGGAUCUUGUCAGACUCCACUAUCACCCUCUUCCGUUCUCAAGGUAGAUGAUCCUUUAAUAUCUGUUCGGAACUUUAUGCAUGACUUCUCGCUGAGGCACAGAAGAUUUUGUUACUGAAAAGACUUGAGUGCAAUGUAAAACUUGAAAAACUGUUAACAUUCAUGUUGUUCUGAGUUAUUUGUUGAUUUCUCAAAAAUUAAAACCUAUGUUGUCUAACCCAUUUGAAAUUCCUGGAGCUUAAAAUCAUGUGUAGAUACACUCA